RNAcentral lists this long non-coding RNA (5148 nucleotides) under Marmota monax (woodchuck). Lineage: Eukaryota; Metazoa; Chordata; Mammalia; Rodentia; Sciuridae. The record is from RNAcentral.
AUCCAGAUGCCACGUCCUGAGCUGCUGCCCUCUGCUACCCCACCCUCCCACCAGGAUGUCCUGCCUCCCCUCGGGCCCAGAGCAGUGGAGCUGGCCAGCUAUGGACUGAGACCUCUGAAAGUGUGAGCCCCAAAGAAACUGCUCCUCCUCUAAAAUUGUUCUCACUGGGUCUGCUUUUUUCCCCAUUGGGUCUUUUGAUCACAGUGGCAAAAUGGGGGAGAAGAAGAACCAGGCGUUGCCUCUGACAUCCUCCCUGCCAACGCUAAGUCAGGAGGAAGCAGCAGGUAAGUGUGAAUUGCUGGACGUUCCACAAAGUGACCCUGUUCUUCAGACAGUAUCAGGUCAUGAAGGAGGGGGAAACCUGAGGACUCGUUCCCAAAUGAAGAGAAAUUAUAAGGAUUUAAUGGGCCUGUCCCUGUCCGUGAUAUUGUUAGGACCACAGAGAACAUUUGAAUGAUGUUCGUGAAUUAUAUGGUGAAGUUGGAUGAAUAUUUGUCUGACUUGUUAAUUGAUCAUGUUAAGUGAUAAUGUUAACUGAUGGUCCUGUUGUGUAAGAGAAUGUCCUUGUUUAUAGGAAUUAAGCAGUGAGUGUGUGUGUGUGUGUGUGUGUGUGAGAGAGAGAGAGAGAGAGAGAGAGAGAUGUGAUAACAUGGUGUCAGUUGGUAAUCUAGGUGAUUACCAGUACUUGGAGUACUGGAGUUCUUGGAAAAAAGUGAGAGCUCAAAAUUCGAUUUUUUUUCUAUAAAAUUUAAAUGUCAGAAUAAAAAAUAUAAAAACGAAAAGAAACAGACCUACUAUGGGGCUCUGUGUACAUGGACACAGUGAGUCCAACUGAGCAGGUCAAUUAAAACCAGGCCCAGGGUCUGUGGAAUGCCAGGUGUUUAGUGCUCCACUCGCCCCCGGGCCGGCCCUCAGCUUGCUCAGGAGGGCACAAGGAGACAGGGCAGGGUGGGAAAUGGAGGGGCUGCUGGAUCCAUGAUACAGGAACCAAAGGAGCCAGAAGGCUGCAGGGAGGAGGUGAUGUUUGGAGAGAGGCCUUGAUGAGUUGGGCAGGAGACCGUUGCCAGUCCAUCUGUAUGUCCUCCCUGGGGCUUGGCAUCUUGUAUCCCCAGUGUCAGGCCACAGUGGGGGCUCAAUAAUUGUUAGAAUAACCAAACUAGCCUCAGACUUUCCCAAACCCCGUUUCUUCCCUCUUUCCUCCUAGGCUAACUAAAGACUUUCUCUGUCCAUGGAAAACUCUCCAUGGACUUUGCAGUUUGAAGUCCCACGAAUCCACAUUUUGGGAAAGAUUUUCAUCUCUUCCUUGAGACCAUCAGAAGCCGGAGGGAGAGACUCACUAGCCUGUCUCGCACAUUCGUAGUAGUGACAAGAUCUGCCAUACCAUCAGCUAAAAGGAUUGAUUAAGGGUUCAGAGAUGCAGAAAUCCCUGAACUACUCUUUGGGGUUAUGAUGGGGGUGAGGGCACCGUAAUAACUACAGCUGAUUGUGGGAACCGACAAGAUGAUGUUAACCACCAGUGCUCAGGGCCUUCUUACACCAAAGCAGGGUGUUUACGCAAGGCCAGCUUCCUCCCACCCACAGUAUUGCUAUAAUGAUAAUUUUAGCAUUUGCCAACAUUCCUAUAAGCAGCUUUCAUCAGGGCUCCAUAAGCACCCAACAAAUGUCCCUAAAUGUGUACACAGGUGCCACCUGGCCUAUCUGUGGCAUGAAGCAGCAUUUGGGGGCAGAAGGCAGCUGUGACCUCUGAGGCAGCCAGCUUGGGCCCUGGACUGAUACAGAGGCUCCAGUUACACAGCCAAAUGCCUCCCCACUUCUCCGUGUAAUCGCAGUUAGACACUUGAAAGAACUUCUUUUGUGAGUCCAUUUAUUUCCCAAAACUCUUAUGGAUGCCGCGCAUGAGAUUGCGUCUUUUUGGAGCAGUAAGCACCGACCUGCUGAAGAACCACAAGGGACUUCUCAGUAGCAGAGCUUCUCCUUGCUGUAGAGAAUGAACAGUGAGGCAGCUGCCCUUGGCCUCCGUCCUCCCAGUUCCAAGCAUUUGUUCACACCAAGUGUGGAUUCACCCUCAGGGAGCACCCCCCUCACCUCGCAGGCAAGGUGGCGACAGCUGGGACAGUUUGCAACACGGGAUUAUUUUAAGGCAUCUGAAAAGUGGGUGAAAACAAACUCAAGUGAAAAUUUCUUUUAAAAAACCCAAAAACUUAGAAAUAGCAUUCAAGGCCUGCAAAACCACUGACUCCUCCAAAACCUAGAAUUUUCCUUGAUGCCUCAAAGCAUUUUCAAGAUUCUGUCCUGAAAACCAUGCUGAAGGCCAUCCUCAAUGUAGAAUAACGUGAGUCUCCUGUUUCCGCCCACUUUUACAGAAUGACAUGUGACCCUUGGCAGGCAGGACAGCAAAAAGAUCCAUGUAAUUACAGUUUCUGGUUUCACACUGAAAUGGCCCAACUAAAAAGUCCUCAGCAGAUGUUGCAUAAUUUCGAGACAUGUAUUUAGUAGUAAAUAUCAGCUUGAUUCCAUAGCUGGUUGAUGUGGCCUUAAAGUGAAUUAAGAAACAGCACAGCUUUCAUUCCUGCACUUAACAGAGGGCAGCACAUUUCUUUAUCUUACGCAGUGCCACAUAGCCGUGCCGUUUCAACUGGUUGGGCCAAAGUAAAUGGAGAAGCCGGGCACUACUGCUGCUCUAUGGUCGGGGCAGUUCACGUCAGCCCGGCCUGGACUGGCCACAGGAGAUGGCGGUGCGAUUGUCCUCUACUCUCAACGAGGAAAGGGAAACCCAGAGAAGAUGCACGACAGCUGGGCUUAGAGCGUGGUUCUCAUGGUCCUAAAUUUAGCCCAUCAAGUCAUGACAUCUCUUCUGCUAGGGGAUUAUAGUUUUUAAAAAGACUGCUCAUGCAGCAAAUCAUUAUGAUAAACAAUCUAAUAAUUCAGGAGGAAGGAACUAGAAAACCAGGGCUAGCAACAAGUGUGUGACAGCUUGAUUUUUCACCAGCUGUAUUCCUUGGUCCCCAGCCAAAAUGCCAUCUGACCUUUAAGCUGGCCAAGCACGUGGAUUGUUUUCUUUUUUUCUUAUCAGUCCUCAGAACUAAACAAUUGCUGAGAUAUUUUAGAGAUGCAGAAUUUCAUUAGGGAGAGGAGAGGAUGAAGAAAAUAAAGAUGCCACAUGCAUCCAUACUACAAUCGAGUAUUUGUUGGACAUUUAAUUAUGAGCUUGUCCCUGUAGAUAGAUUCUGUGGAGAAGACAAGGUUAUUUUUCUGCCUAGCUGUGGAGCAUGUGAAUACAUAAGACACAGGCCCAUGGGUCCAAUCCUGUCCACCACCUGUUCUUGUGUAGUUCAUGGGCUAAGGAUGGUUUAUUUUAAAUGGUUAAAAAAUCAAAAGAAUGACAGCGUUUUGUAACAUGUGAGAAUUAUAUGAAAUCCAAAUUUCAAUGUCCUAAAUACGGUAUUGUUGGAGCACAGUUACGCUCACUGAUUCAUGCACAGUCUAUGGCCAUGUUCAUGCUACAGUGGGCAGCUGAGCUGAAUGGCCUUGACAGAGACCAUAUGCACCACAGAAACAGAAAUAUUUACUGUUUGGUCCCUCGUGGAAAAGUUUGAGGACCCCUGAGUUAGAUGAUACUCUAAUGUCACGGUCAGGGGUGGUCUAGAACUAGUUGGGAAUCAGAGGACUUCCAAGAAGGGAGAAUUGAGGUAGAAGAAAGUACAUCCAAAUGGACCUUGAAAGAUAAGACAUUGGGCAUCAUGGUUAUUGUGAAAGGCCAGCAGAUGUGGCCUGCCAGUGUGACGCCAUCACUGAGAGCAGAGUGACCUUGCCAAGUUCUUUAACUUUUCUGUAUCUCAGUUUUCUCAACUAUUAAAUGGAUUGAUAAUACCUGCUUCCCAGGGCUGUUGUAAAGCCACAAUAGGGUGUCAUAUGCAAAGCAGCACAUUGCCUGGCCUGGAGCCCGUGUCUCUGAAACAUUAGCCGUCAAUAAGAGCGAUGGCCACUGUUUCUCACACUGGCACAUCUAUUAAUAAAACUAAGUCAACAUUUUGCUUAAAAAGGUAAGCCUCUGAGAGGUCAUAAGUGAGGAAGCUUUAAAAUCUUCUAUGAUGAAGUUGAGCAAUUGAAUUCUAUGGAAGUUGUUAAAAAUGGUGUCAUCGAAGAACCACACAGGAAAACAUUCAUAGUGUGCUCUGUAAAAAUGAAAGAAAAACAAAACCAGGUUAUGAAAUACUUCACUUAGUAUAAGAUAGUUGGAGUAAAGGGGAAAGGAUGCUCUUAGACAUUAUUAUUUUGCAACAUAGUAUCUCAGCAUGGUAGUUUAGUUUCACCAGCCCAGAAAUUCUGUUUUGUCAUUGCAUUUGAAAUCAUAUGAGAAACUGGUGAAAGCUACUGACCCCUCUCCUUGAUAAAUGUGCACUGCACACAUACACACACACACACACACACACCCAUUUGCAUACAAUCUCACGACUUAAUGGAGUCCUUGAAUCCCAAUCUUGGUUUCUAGGUUAAGAACGCCUGUGCUGGUUACUCACUCAUAAAACCCAUAAGAUAUCGACACAUGAACUAGAAUGCCAUAUUACUAAUUUAUGAAGAAGAAAUAAUGUCAAGUGGACUAAAACCCUUCCAUUGGCUGACCAGCUCAUUAUCUUGCUAUGCAAAAAUGAGACAGAUAGCCAAAGUGCGUAUAUAGUCACAGCACAGGGAAUUCGAGAAUGGUCUUAAUGGCUCUUGUCGCCAAACUGGGAUCGUCUGAUGUGUCUGUUUCUGCUGGAGAAGUAACCCUGCCAAUGACGCUGGGACAGCCAGUACAGGCUUCUCCUGGGGACAAUGCCCGACACCUGCAUUCUCUGCUUGCAGAAACAGCGAAGGCUGAGCUACAGAUGCCACUCUUGCCAAAGAAAGGUGCCGUUCCUGCAGCUAGACCCCUCUUGAGGCAUGCUGAUUUCCCCACGCUACACCUGGUCUCCUCCAUUAGGAAAUGUCACUCAUGUGAAGGUGGGGUUUUUUGUGCAUGUGUGUAUAUAGGUUGGUUUUAUUUCCCUUUCAGAGGUGACCCUCAAUCUCAAAUUUCAGAGGUACUUUACUGCUGUGAUUCAGGUGUGGAAUGUCCCCCAAUGUCCACGGGUUGAAGACUUGACCCCAGGGUGGUGCUGUCAGGAG